AUUAGAUGGCGACCGGCGCACGGGUGCUGAACACGUAUGCAACCUACCCUUUACAGGGGAUGAUAACCUUUCGACAAGGAAGAACUCAAUAUCCCAUGGGUUCCAUGAAAUUGCAUAAUUAUAUGGAUAAAGGAGCAAUCCGGUAAACGGAUGGGCAUGCGUCCCAUUAGAUAGUUGGCGAGGUAACGGCUCACCAAGUCGACAGAUGGGUAGGGGUUCUGAGAGGAUUAUCCCCCACACUGGUACUGAGACACGGACCAGACUCCUACGGGAGGCAGCAGUGAGGAACUAUUGGGCAAUGGACGGAAGUCUGACCCAGCCAUGCCGCGUGCAGGAAUGACGGCCCUAUGGGUUGUAAACUGCUUUUCUAUUAGAAGAACACCAUUACGUGAUAAUGGACUGACGGUAUAAUCAGGAAUAAGCAUCGGCAUAACUCCGUGCCAGCAAGACCG
Molecule: ribosomal RNA, 452 nt
Filed under: uncultured bacterium
Lineage: Bacteria
Description: bacterial SSU rRNA
Rfam family: Bacterial small subunit ribosomal RNA
Source: RNAcentral